Molecule: small RNA, 602 nt
Filed under: Pan troglodytes (chimpanzee)
Lineage: Eukaryota; Metazoa; Chordata; Mammalia; Primates; Hominidae
Description: retained intron
Source: RNAcentral
GCUGCACCAUGACCCUGGAGGCGAUCCGCUACUCGCGGGGCUCCCUGCAGAUCCUAGACCAGCUGCUGCUGCCCCAGCAGAGCCGCUACGAGGCGGUGGGCUCGGUGCACCAGGCCUGGGAGGCCAUCCGCGCCAUGAAGGUGCGGGGCGCCCCGGCCAUAGCCCUGGUGGGCUGUCUCAGCCUCGCCGUGGAGCUGCAGGCGGGCGCCGGGGGACCGGGACUCGCCGCGCUCGUGGCCUUCGUGCGCGACAAGCUGAGCUUCCUCGUCACCGCCCGGCCCACCGCUGUCAACAUGGCCCGCGCCGCCCGCGACCUGGCUGAUGUUGCAGCCCGGGAGGCCGAACGGGAGGGCGCUACGGAAGAGGCGGUCCGGGAGAGAUGUGAAACGGAGCUAUGCGAGCAUUGGGAAGAGCAUACCAGGCAGAGGGAACUGCCACUGCGAGGGCCCCUGGGUGGGACUGUGCUCGGUAAGCCUUUCGCAAUCCACGCCCAGACUAGGAGCCUGCACCCCUAACCAAUGGACCACCCUGUCUGUUUGCCCCUCCCCGGGGCCUUCUCCUGGUGGGUGGGGCCCCCGCAGGUGUGAUCCGCUCACUGCACA